UACGGGGGGGGUAAGCGUUGUUCGGAAUUACUGGGCGUAAAGGGCUCGUAGGCGGCCAACUAAGUCAUACGUGAAAUCCCUCAGCUUAACUGGGGAACUGCGUGUGAUACUGGAUGGCUUGGAUUUGGGAGAGGGAUGCGGAAUUCCAGGUGUAGCGGUGAAAUGCGUAGAUAUCUGGAGGAACACCGGUGGCGAAGGCGGCAUCCUGGACCAAUAUUGACGCUGAGGAGCGAAAGCCAGGGGAGCAAACUGG
Molecule: ribosomal RNA, 253 nt
Filed under: uncultured bacterium
Lineage: Bacteria
Description: partial 16S ribosomal RNA
Rfam family: Bacterial small subunit ribosomal RNA
Source: RNAcentral